Molecule: small nucleolar RNA, 92 nt
Organism: Syzygium oleosum
Lineage: Eukaryota; Viridiplantae; Streptophyta; Magnoliopsida; Myrtales; Myrtaceae
Product: small nucleolar RNA snoR27
Exons: 1
Source: RefSeq, a predicted model, not a curated record
GCUGGAUCGAUGAUGUUAUUAAUUACUGCGUUUUCUAUCUGCAAGCUUCUAAAGAAGAAGUGGAGAUAACUUUGUAUAUGCUGAGAUCCCAU